GACCGCGUAGCUCAGUUGGAAGAGCAUUGGGCUAGUAUCCAAAGGUCGUAGGUUCGAAUCCUACCGUGGCCG
This 72-nucleotide transfer RNA is filed under the name Paramuricea clavata. It matches the Rfam family "tRNA". Rfam says of the family: Transfer RNA (tRNA) molecules are approximately 80 nucleotides in length. The record is from Rfam by way of RNAcentral. Lineage: Eukaryota; Metazoa; Cnidaria; Anthozoa; Malacalcyonacea; Plexauridae.